ACCUCCUCCAUCAGCUUCCACUGCCUCUUUCUCCUCCUCAUUUUCCUCUCCUCCUCCUCCUCAGCGUUCCUCCCCUCCUCUCUCUGUGCUGGUGUCUGUUCCCUCUAUAUUCGGGCUGCUGCUGGUUGUACUGGUGAGACGAUGUGUCCCAAGGAAACCUGAAGCUGCAGUGCAGAGAACAGCUGACAUCAUUUAUGGAGACAUCACCAUCAGGACAAACAGCAGACACAGAGAUCUUCCACCAGAGCCAGCGGUCAUCUACUCCUCACUGAAGCUGAACCACACACCUUCACCACAGUGUAACCAGUCUGACCAGUGACGUCCAGCUGGCUUCCAAACACAUCCCUGCACUCCUCUCCAGAGAUGGGCAGUAACGCGUUACUGUAAUCCGAUUACUUUUUUCAAGUAACGAGUAAAGUAAGGGAUUACAAUUGCAAAAACGGUAAUUAGAUUACCGUUAC
This is a long non-coding RNA of Oreochromis aureus, 461 nucleotides long. RefSeq lists it as uncharacterized. The transcript has 3 exons. The record is from RefSeq and is a predicted model, not a curated record. Lineage: Eukaryota; Metazoa; Chordata; Actinopteri; Cichliformes; Cichlidae.